GUGCACCAGUCGCGAAACCUCCGCAAUGCACGCAAGUGCGACGGGGGAACCCCAAGUGCCACUCUUAACGGGGUGGCUUUUCAGAAGUGUAAAAAGCUUCUGGAAUAAGGGCUGGGCAAGACCGGUGCCAGCCGCCGCGGUAACACCGGCAGCUCAAGUGGUAGCCGCUUUUAUUGGGCCUAAAGCGUCCGUAGCCGGUCUGAUAGGUCUCUGGUGAAAUCCCACAGCUUAACUGUGGGAAUUGCUGGAGAUACUAUCAUGACUCGAGGUCGGGAGAGGCUGGAGGUACUCCCAGGGUAGGGGUGAAAUCCUGUAAUCCUGGGAGGACCACCUGUGGCGAAGGCGUCCAGCUGGAACGAACCUGACGGUGAGGGACGAAAGCCAGGGGCGCGAACCGGAUUAGAUACCCAAGUAGUCC
Molecule: ribosomal RNA, 418 nt
Filed under: uncultured Methanothermobacter sp.
Lineage: Archaea; Methanobacteriati; Methanobacteriota; Methanobacteria; Methanobacteriales; Methanobacteriaceae
Description: bacterial SSU rRNA
Rfam family: Archaeal small subunit ribosomal RNA
Source: RNAcentral